Molecule: long non-coding RNA, 409 nt
Filed under: Rattus norvegicus (Norway rat)
Lineage: Eukaryota; Metazoa; Chordata; Mammalia; Rodentia; Muridae
Description: long non-coding RNA NONRATT027862
Source: RNAcentral
GCAAAGAGACAGCCUGUACGCCGAGGUGCAGAAGCACCGGAUGCAGCAGCAGCAGCGAGACCACCAGCAGCAACCUGGGGAGGCUGAGCCGCUGACGCCCACCUACAACAUCUCAGCCAAUGGGCUGACGGAACUGCAUGAUGACCUCAGCACCUACAUGGACGGCCACACCCCCGAGGGCAGCAAGGCCGACUCAGCUGUCAGCAGCUUCUACCUGGACAUCCAGCCCUCCCCAGACCAGUCGGGACUGGACAUCAAUGGGAUCAAACCCGAACCCAUAUGUGACUACACACCAGCAUCUGGCUUCUUCCCCUACUGUUCCUUCACCAACGGAGAGACUUCCCCAACCGUGUCCAUGGCGGAACUAGAACACCUUGCACAGAACAUAUCCAAAUCGCACCUGGAAACC